Molecule: unclassified non-coding RNA, 279 nt
Filed under: plant metagenome
Description: partial contains small subunit ribosomal RNA, internal transcribed spacer 1, and 5.8S ribosomal RNA
Source: RNAcentral
UUUCCGUAGGUGAACCUGCGGAAGGAUCAUUAUUGUAUAACCGAGGUGCAAGGCCUGUCGCUGAUCCGAAAGGUCGCGCACGCCCGAGUACUCUGACACACAUCCAUUACACCCCUAUGUACACCACCCCGCGGGUCCCCCCUUUGCGUAAUCGGAGGGGGUCUUACGUAUUAACACAACCUUUAUCUGCCGUGUGGGAUGUAUUUUUUGUUUUUGCGAUCACGCUAACAAAACAACUUUCGACAACGGAUCUUUUGACUCUCGAAUCGAGGAAGAACG